This is a long non-coding RNA of Bufo bufo (common toad), 154 nucleotides long. RefSeq lists it as uncharacterized. The record is from RefSeq and is a predicted model, not a curated record. Lineage: Eukaryota; Metazoa; Chordata; Amphibia; Anura; Bufonidae. The transcript has 3 exons.
CUGACUAAGGACAACAUCUGCAUGGAGUUUGUAUGUUCUCCCCGUGUUUGCGUGGGUUUCCUCUGGGUUCUCCGGUUUCCUCCCCAAGACCAAAGACAUAAUGAUAGGGACCUCAGAUUGUGAGCCCCAUUGGGGACAGUGAUGAUCAUGUCAU